CUCGUGCCCUAAGCCGCCGACGUCGUCUCCUUCUUCUUCUUCUUCUUCUAUUUCUUCCUCUUCCCUUUCUCACUGCCAACCGUCUUACCGUUUCUCCCCAAACCACCUCGCGCCGGUUUCUUUCUCCCCUGCGUACAAAAGACCAUCGCCCAAGGGAAGCACCAUUCCUCUUCCCUUCUCUUGAUUUCCACUCAUCUUCUUCACUUGUCUCCUCUCGCCACCGGCCACUGUGGUCGUCGAUCCGACAGAUCCUCAUGCCCUAGUGUCGCUGUCGGCCACUGCGGACCCACGGCCGAUCAUCGCCAACCUGAAACCGACACCGUCGACUCCUCCACUCGGCCGAUUGCCGGAUGCCAACGCCUGCCUCCUACUGACGAUGACCUCUCCUUUUCUCUGGAGGCCAAAUCGGUGACGCAGCCGACCACCCACGUCUGUUGGUCGUGCCCUAGGGCUUUUUCCCCUUCUGAUUUUUCACUGCCGGCCAAGGGUUAACUGCUCUCCUCUGUGACGACCACUGGACUUGGAGUUCUCUCAGGCCACCGAUCUUUUCUCUUCGGGUCAUGGACAGAAGUAGAGCAUCCGAGCCGUUUCCUCUGUGCCCUAGCAUCAAUUGUCGAUUCUUAUUUUACCUUCUCUCUGGUCGUGGGGAUUUUGAAGGUAGGUACUCUUUCUAGUUUGUUAUUUGGGGAUCUAAUCUCUGAAUGGUACUGGUCAGGGGUGAUUGUUUGAGGAAACAGUGCUGCGAUUGCCUCUGGUCAACAUUAUCGUAGACAGAAGAUAGCUUCCUUCGCCAGAUCCUUGAUCACACCGUUAAUUGGAGAGUAAGCUGCAGAUCUAGAUUUGGCAGGUAAAAAGGGAUAAAGUAGCAGUACACCUCUGUUGAUAGCUGCAAAUUACUAUCAGCCACCUUCGAAUUGGGUUAAGGAAUUGCAUUCUAUUUGGGUAACAUUAUCUAAGUGGAUCCUUCUGUUCAAUUUAAGAAAUUAAAUGUAGUUGAGGUAAGGUAUGGAUGAUUAAAUGGAAUUAAAAUAUAGUUUUCUAAUUGGAUUA
Long non-coding RNA from Zingiber officinale, 1050 nucleotides. RefSeq lists it as uncharacterized. NCBI's taxonomy places the organism in Eukaryota, Viridiplantae, Streptophyta, Magnoliopsida, Zingiberales, Zingiberaceae. The transcript is spliced from 2 exons. The record is from RefSeq and is a predicted model, not a curated record.